RNAcentral lists this long non-coding RNA (731 nucleotides) under Lynx pardinus (Iberian lynx). The record is from RNAcentral. Lineage: Eukaryota; Metazoa; Chordata; Mammalia; Carnivora; Felidae.
AAGUAAUAAGGUAAAGUAAGAGAUGUGUGCAUUCGGAAGUUGGCUACAGGGAAUCCUGUACAUAAACGUGAUCCCAUCUUACCGUAAGUAAUUAUAUGUGUUGUUGUUGUUUUAAUAUUAUUUCCUGAUUAUAAAAAUUAUAUUUAUGCCUUUACAUAUAUAUGGCUUAAUUUCUUUCCCUGUUUUUGCAUGGCUGUACAUAGGUCUGUUGCUGACCCAAGAAUAAUAUUGUAAUUCUAAAUUUUCUCGAAUACAGCCAGGUCAUGAUAAAAAGUAUAAAGUCCAUUAAAGUACUAAUGCAAAUUUCAUUAUUAAAGUAAUCGAUCUUGAAAUAAUGAAACUACCAAAACUAAAAGCAACUUUCAUUCCGAAUUUCUCUCCAGUGCCCCAUGGGAGCUAAGGAGCUGGACAUUCACCAAAGCAACUUUGGGGAAUAAAGCCAUGUUCAACAACAGGAAGCCCCUUUGGCUCAGGGUCUCGUGGCCAAAGAAACCUAGGAAUGGCCUGUUAAGAUCCCAGCUCAAAGGGAGCUCAGGGAAUGGAUCAUCUUUCUCAGGCUGAGCAUCCAACCUCAUUUAUACUUGGCCAUGUGCAGCCUGUGUGAGAAUUAGGACAUUAUGGUGUAUGCAGUAUUUCCCACACUAUUGAAAAGAACUUAAUUCUCAGCCCAUAUGUCUUAUAAAAUUACAAAAGUUUCAAUUUAUCAAAUAGAAAAUCAGCAAAAAUACAAG